AUACGGGGGGUGCAAGCGUUAAUCGGAAUUACUGGGCGUAAAGCGCGCGUAGGCGGUUUGGUCAGUCGGAUGUGAAAGCCCCAGGCUCAACCCGGGAAUGGCAUUCGAUACUGCCUGACUAGAGUAUGGUAGAGGGAAGUGGAAUUUCCGGUGUAGCGGUGAAAUGCGUAGAUAUCGGAAGGAACACCAGUAGCGAAGGCGACUUCCUGGGCCAAUACUGACGCUAAGGUGCGAAAGCGUGGGGAGCAAACAGGAUUAGAAACCCCGGUAGUCC
Molecule: ribosomal RNA, 274 nt
Filed under: uncultured bacterium
Lineage: Bacteria
Description: partial 16S ribosomal RNA
Rfam family: Bacterial small subunit ribosomal RNA
Source: RNAcentral